GCUGGCGGCGCGCCUAACACAUGCAAGUCGGAACGAGCGAGAGAGAGCUUGCUUUCUCGAGCGAGUGGCGAACGGGUGAGUAACGCGUGAGGAACCUGCCUCAAAGAGGGGGACAACAGUUGGAAACGACUGCUAAUACCGCAUAAGCCCACAGCUCGGCAUCGAGCAGAGGGAAAAGGAGCAAUCCGCUUUGAGAUGGCCUCGCGUCCGAUUAGCUAGUUGGUGAGGUAUGGCCCACCAAGGCAACGAUCGGUAGCCGGACUGAGAGGUUGAACGGCCACAUUGGGACUGAGACACGGCCCAGACUCCUACGGGAGGCAGCAGUGGGGAAUAUUGCACAAUGGGGGAAACCCUGAUGCAGCGACGCCGCGUGGAGGAAGAAGGUCUUCGGAUUGUAAACUCCUGUUGUUGAGGAAGAUAAUGACGGUACUCAACAAGGAAGUGACGGCUAACCACGUGCCAGCAGCCGCGGUAAAACGUAGGGUGCAAGCGUUGUCCGGAAUUACUGGGUGUAAAGGGAGCGCAGGCGGGAAGACAAGUUGGAAGUGAAAACCAUGGGCUCAACCCGUGAAUUGCUUUCAAAACUGUUUUUCUUGAGUAGUGCAGAGGUAGAUGGAAUUCCCGGUGUAGCGGUGGAAUGCGUAGAUAUCGGGAGGAACACCAGUGGCGAAGGCGGUCUACUGGGCACCAACUGACGCUGAGGCUCGAAAGCAUGGGUAGCAAACAGGAUUAGAUACCCUGGUAGUCCAUGCCGUAAACGAUGAUUACUAGGUGUUGGGGGAUUGACCCCCUCAGUGCCGCAGUUAACACAAUAAGUAAUCCACCUGGGGAGUACGACCGCAAGGUUGAAACUCAAAGGAAUUGACGGGGGCCCGCACAAGCAGUGGAGUAUGUGGUUUAAUUCGAAGCAACGCGAAGAACCUUACCAGGUCUUGACAUCCGAUGCAUAGCACAGAGAUGUGUGAAAUCCUUCGGGACAUCGAGGCAGGUGGUGCAUGGUUGUCGUCAGCUCGUGUCGUGAGAUGUUGGGUUAAGUCCCGCAACGAGCGCAACCCUUAUUGCCAGUUACUACGUUAAGAGGACUCUGGCGAGACUGCCGUUGACAAAACGGAGGAAGGUGGGGAUGACGUCAAAUCAUCAUGCCCUUUAUGACCUGGGCUACACACGUACUACAAUGGCGUUAAACAAAGAGAAGCAAGACCGCGAGGUGGAGCAAAACUCAAAAACAACGUCUCAGUUCAGAUUGCAGGCUGCAACUCGCCUGCAUGAAGUCGGAAUUGCUAGUAAUCGCGGAUCAGCAUGCCGCGGUGAAUACGUUCCCGGGCCUUGCACUCACCGCCCGUCAA
RNAcentral lists this ribosomal RNA (1346 nucleotides) under uncultured bacterium. RNAcentral's name for it is "bacterial SSU rRNA". It matches the Rfam family "Bacterial small subunit ribosomal RNA", at positions 35 to 1400 of the family's 1533-position model. The record is from RNAcentral.